AAAGCCCUGUUUUCUAGGACGAUAAUGACGGUACUAGAGGAGGAAGCCACGGCUAACUACGUGCCAGCAGCCGCGGUAAUACGUAGGUGGCGAGCGUUGUCCGGAUUUACUGGGCGUAAAGGGUGCGUAGGCGGAUGUUUAAGUGGGAUGUGAAAUCCCCGGGCUUAACCUGGGGGCUGCAUUCCAAACUGGAUAUCUAGAGUGCAGGAGAGGAAAGCGGAAUUCCUAGUGUAGCGGUGAAAUGCGUAGAGAUUAGGAAGAACACCAGUGGCGAAGGCGGCUUUCUGGACUGUAACUGACGCUGAGGCACGAAAGCGUGGGUAGCAAACAGGAUUAGAUACCCUGGUAGUCCACGCCGUAAACGAUGGAUACUAGGUGUAGGGGGUAUCAACUCCCCCUGUGCCGCAGUUAACACAAUAAGUAUCCCGCCUGGGGAGUACGGUCGCAAGAUUAAAACUCAAAGGAAUUGACGGGGGCCCGCACAAGCAGCGGAGCAUGUGGUUUAAUUCGAAGCAACGCGAAGAACCUUACCUGGACUUGACAUCCCUUGCAUAGCCUAGAGAUAGG
This 567-nucleotide ribosomal RNA is filed under the name Clostridium botulinum. Its description in RNAcentral is "bacterial SSU rRNA". It matches the Rfam family "Bacterial small subunit ribosomal RNA", at positions 427 to 1010 of the family's 1533-position model. Lineage: Bacteria; Bacillati; Bacillota; Clostridia; Eubacteriales; Clostridiaceae. The record is from RNAcentral.